Molecule: small nucleolar RNA, 126 nt
Organism: Acomys russatus (golden spiny mouse)
Lineage: Eukaryota; Metazoa; Chordata; Mammalia; Rodentia; Muridae
Product: small nucleolar RNA SNORA40
Exons: 1
Source: RefSeq, a predicted model, not a curated record
UGUGUGUGUGUGUGUGUAUGUUCAACUAGUGGACAAAGGCAGGUUAGACAGGAACAAAAUAAAUCUUAUUUUGUAGUGCGAAUUCAUUGUUCAGUAUGAGUUUUGAUAUAUACAAGAUCAGAUCAC